RNAcentral lists this ribosomal RNA (253 nucleotides) under uncultured bacterium. RNAcentral describes it as "partial 16S ribosomal RNA". It matches the Rfam family "Bacterial small subunit ribosomal RNA", at positions 524 to 776 of the family's 1533-position model. The record is from RNAcentral.
UACGUAGGUGGCGAGCGUUGUCCGGAUUUACUGGGCGUAAAGGGCGUGCAGGCGGUUUGUUAAGUGCAGGGUGAAAGCUCCCGGCUCAACUGGGAGAGGUCCUUGCAUACUGGCGAACUCGAGGGAGGCAGAGGAAAGUGGAAUUCCCGGUGUAGUGGUGAUAUGCGUAGAUAUCGGGAGGAACACCUGUGGCGAAGGCGGCUUUCUGGGCCUUACCUGACGCUGAGAAGCGAAAGCGUGGGGAGCGAACCGG